ACACACACACACACUUACAGACGCAUACACACUAGCUAACAGACACACACAUUUACUGACAGAGAUACAGUCAGCGACAGAAAUACAUACACACUCACUUACAAAACAUACACUCUCAUUGACAAACACACACUCACUAACAGACAUCAAACAGACUCACUAACACACACACACUCACUAAGACACACACUAACACACUCACUGACACUCACUAGCAGACACACACACUAACACUCACACUAACACUCACUAGCAGACACACACUAACAAUCACUCUAACACUCCAACACUCACACUAACACUCACUCUAACACUCACACUAACACACACUAACACUCACUCUAACACUCUAACACUCACACUAACACUCACUCUAACACUCACACUCACACACACUAACACUCACACAUGAUUUUUUUUUUUUUAAUAUAAUCCCCCCAGCCUCCUUACCUCUUGGAGUGCUGGGGGGGAUUAUUCCCUGGGGUCCAGUGGGGCUCCUGGGC
Pelobates cultripes (western spadefoot toad) is the source of this 503-nucleotide non-coding RNA. NCBI's taxonomy places the organism in Eukaryota, Metazoa, Chordata, Amphibia, Anura, Pelobatidae. The record is from the annotation of a GenBank genome assembly.